Molecule: ribosomal RNA, 235 nt
Filed under: uncultured bacterium
Lineage: Bacteria
Description: partial 16S ribosomal RNA
Rfam family: Bacterial small subunit ribosomal RNA
Source: RNAcentral
UGGCCUACGGGGCGCAGCAGUAGGGAAUUUUCGGCAAUGGGGGGAACCCUGACCGAGCAACGCCGCGUGAAGGAAGAAGGAAUUCGUUCUGUAAACUUCUGUUAUAAAGGAAGAAAGGCGGAUGAAGGAAAUGACAUCCGAGUGACGGUACUUUAUGAGAAAGCCACGGCUAACUACGUGCCAGCAGCCGCGGUAAUACGGAGGGUGCAAGCGUUACUCGGAAUCACUGGGCGUA